AGAGUUUGAUCCUGGCUCACGNNNNNNGCUGGCGGCGUGCUUAACACAUGCAAGUCGAACGAGCCGAUUUAGAAGCUUGCUUUUAAUGAGUCGAGUGGCAAACGGGUGAGUAACGCGUAGACAACCUGCCGCAAAGAUGGGGACAACAGUCCGAAAGGACUGCUAAUACCGAAUGUUGUAUCUCCUCCGCAUGGAAGAGAUAUUAAAGAUGGCCUCUACUUGUAAGCUACCGCUUUGCGAUGGGUCUGCGUCUGAUUAGCUAGUUGGUGGGGCAACGGCCUACCAAGGCGACGAUCAGUAGCCGGUCUGAGAGGAUGAAACGGCCCCUUGGAACUGAGACACGGCCAAACUCCUACGGGAAGGAGCAGGGGGGAAUCUUCCGCAGGGGCGAAAGCCUGACGGAACAACUCCCUUUGAUUGAAAAAGGUCUUCGGAUCUAAAAG
RNAcentral lists this ribosomal RNA (443 nucleotides) under uncultured bacterium. Its description in RNAcentral is "bacterial SSU rRNA". It matches the Rfam family "Bacterial small subunit ribosomal RNA", at positions 8 to 430 of the family's 1533-position model. The record is from RNAcentral.